GCACCAAAUCAGGUCCGAUUCACUCUCUGUAGAAAACAGUUCCUACCACCCUUCUCUGAGACCCAGAAAAGUACAACAACCUAGGUCUGAUUCUCUACUUCCUCAAACCUUGUGUAGUUAUGUACACUUGUGCAAAAGUCGCUGUAAAAUGCUACCAAAUCAGAAUGGUAUCAUUUUACUCCCCCGUGCUUUGCACUGAUGUAGAGACAGGGCAGAGGAGAGUCUAGUCCCUCUAAUUUAAGGCCCAAGCUCUUUCUCUUCCCCAUGUCUCUGUCAGUCACCCUUUCGAACAUAUUGAUGAGAGGAGAACCACACUCUCCUUCCUUGUGCUAGGGUUUGGUAGCCUGAAUCUUUCCUCCUAUUUUCACCUUUAAAACCCCCCCUACCCCCCUGGCGAUAUAUAGCAGAUCCGUCACUCCUCUUUAAAUGGAUUACAGCUUGUUCUCCCCAUGUUAGCAACAAGAAGAAAGUCAAGGAAAGUGUGGGCCCCUUACUGAAUGAUGGAGGCAAUCUAGUGAGAGAGGAUGUGGAAAAAGCUAAUGUACUCAAUGCUUUUUUUGCCUCUGUCUUCACAAACAAGGUCAACUCCCAGACUACUGCACUGGGCAGCACAGCAUGGGGAGGAGGUGACCAGCCCUCUGUGAAGAAAGAAGUGGUUCGGGACUAUUUAGAAAAGCUGGACGAGCACAAGUCCAUGGGCUGGAUGCGCUGCAUCCGAGAGUGCUCAAGGAGUUGGCAGAUGUGCUUACAGAGCCCUUGUCCAUUAUCUUUGAAAACUCAUGGUGAUCUGGGGAAGUCCCGGAUGACUGGAAAAAGGCUAAUGUAGUGCCCAUCUUUAAAAAAGGGAAGAAGGAGGAUCUGGGGAACUACAGGCCAGUCAGCCUCACCUCAGUCCCUGGAAAAAUCAUGGAGCAGGUCCUCAAGGAAUCAAUUCUGAAGCACUUAGAGGAGAGGAAAGUGAUCAGGAAAAGUCAGCAUGGAUUCACCAAGGGCAAGUCAUGCCAGACUAAUCUAAUUGCCUUCUAUGACGAGAUAACUGGCUCUGUGGAUGAGGGGAAAGCGGUGGACAUGUUGUUCCUUGACUUAAGCAAAGCUUUUGACACGGUCUCCCACAGUAUUCUUGCCAGCAAGUUAAAGAAGUAUGGGCUGGAUGAAUGGACGAUAAGGUGGAUAGAAAGCUGGCUAGAUUGUCGGGCUCAACGGGUAGUGAUCAAUGGCUCCAUGUCUAGUUGGCAGCCGGUAUCAAGUGGGGUGCCCCAAGGGUCGGUCCUGGGGCCUGUUUUGUUCAAUAUCUUCAUAAAUGAUCUGGAGGAUGGUGUGGAUUGCACCCUCAGCAAGUUUGCAGAUGACACUAAACUGGGAGGAGAGGUAGAUACGCUGGAGGGUAAGGAUAGGAUACAGAGGGCCCUAGACAAAUUAGAGGAUUGGGCCAAAAGAAAUCUGAUGAGGUUCAACAAUGACAAGUGCAGAGUCCUGCACUUAGGACAGAAGAACCCCAUGCACCGCUACAGACUAGGGACCGAAUGGCUCGGCAGCAGUUCUGCAGAAAAGGACCUAGGGGUUACAGUGGACGAGAAGCUGGAUAUGAGUCAACAGUGUGCCCUUGUUGCCAAGAAGGCCAAUGGCAUUUUGGGAUGUAUACGUAGGGACAUUGCCAGCAGAUCGAGGGACGUGAUCGUUCCCCUCUAUUCAACAUUGGUGAGGCCUCAUCUGGAGUACUGUGUCCAUUUUUGGGCCCAACACUACAAGAAGGAUGUGAAAAAAUUGGAAAAUGUCCAGCAGAGGGCAACAAAAAUUAUUAGAGGACUGGAACACAUGACUUAUGAGGAGAGGCUGAGGGAAGAGAAGAAUGAGGGGGGAUUUGAUAGGUGCUUUCAACUACCUUUCAACUACCUGAAAGGGGUUCCAAAGAGGAUGGAUCUAGACUGUUCUCAGUGGUAGCUGAUGACAGAACAAGGAGUAAUGGUCUCAAGUUGCAGUGGAGGAGGUUUAGCUUGGAUAUUAGGAAAAACUUUUUCACUUGGAGGGUGGUGAAACACUGGAGUGCGUUACCUAGGGAGGUGGUGGAAUCUCCUUCCUUAGAUAUUUUAAAGGUCAGGCUUGACAAAGCCCUGGCUGGGAUGAUUUAGUUGGGGAUUGGUCCUGCUUUGAGCAGGAGGUUGGACUAGAUGACCUCCUGAGGUCCCUUCCAACCCUGAUAUUCUAUGAUUUGCCAGACCAAACCACGGGGACCUUCUGGCUGCCUCAGUUUAGUGCCCUUUGUACUGCCUGGCUGGCCCAGUCUGGUAGAUUACAUGGCAAUUAUGCUGUGGGGCCAGGAGGGAGACAGUAAAUUUUUGUCUUCUCUAUUUUUGGUUUCCAUUUAUUUCCCCUUCCUUAGACUGGCUCUCAAAUAUUUAUAUACAGUGGUUGGUAUUAAAAAUAGAGUCCUAUGUUUUAUUUAGUUAUACGGAUUUGCUAUAAUUAACCUCUCCCUUUCAAAAGUAUUCCACUGACUGAAAUUAUUAUUAGUACCCAGAUACCUUGAUGAUGGAUCUGUUAUAAAUAUUUACUAGAUAGAUUAAUAGAUUUUUAGGGCCCAAAGGACCAUUGUCUCAUCUGGGUUCCCUGCAUUACACAGAUCAUACAAUUUCAUCUAAUGAUUCCUGCAUCAAGCCUGUAACUUGUGGCUGAGCUAUAGCAUGUCUUUUAGAAAUGGAUAGUCUUGAUUUAAAGGCGUCAAGUGUGAGAGAGUUAGCAAGUGCUUUUUGAGAUUUGUCAGCCAGUUUUAAUCUGUUUAAUGUUACAUUGAUUGUGUAAAAUGCUGACUUUUUAAUCAGACUAUUGUGCAGUAAUAAGUCAAACGCCUGCCAGAGAUCUAAGUAUGUUAUGUCAACACAGUUAUCUUUGUCAUCUAAACUUGUAAUCCCUGCAAAAAACAAUAUCUGGUUUGUUUGGCAAUGUACAUAUUCAGUAUUCCAAAAUGUAGUAAGUCAAGAAGCUCCUUGGCCAAUGUUUUUAAAACUCUGCAAUGCAAAUUAUCUGGUCUUGUAGAUUUUUAAAUAUUUAAUGUUAGGAGAUGGUGUUUAAUGUCCUCAUUGGUCAUUGUUGGAAUAGAAAGUGUUUCAUUAUCAGUGUAAGCUGUAAGUGUGUCAACCUGGUUCUUUCCAAAUACAAAACAGAAAAAAUAUUUAUUGAACACUCCAAUCUUUUCUGCCUCCUUGACAGUUUGACCAUAUCCAUCUAGCAACCCUAUACCGAUCCUAGGAUUUUGGGGCUAGGUUCACAGAGGUUCUUAGGUGUUGCAAUGCCUAACUCAGGUGCUCUGCUGCCUCAUGGAAUUCUCGGCCCCGACUUAGGCUGCAGGCUCCCUAUACGAUGCAAGUGGAGAGUUAGGCACCAAAGAAGAGGAUUCUCAGAUGCCAGCAAACUGAACAGGAGUGAAAUGCCUAGAUUCUCAAAGGUGUCAAAGUCCUGUUGAUUUGGGUCUUAGUCAUAUGGCUGAUGGGCUGGAGAGAGGCACCUCCCUCUGCUUAGGAUUCUCAGCCAGGAACCCUCCCCCACAGUUGGGCUCCUAAGCCAGGUCAUUCCUUUCUCUAAUACCCAGAGAGUGAGACACACGCUGACACUCCCACCUAUUAUGGGACUUAAACCCAGGCCUCUUAUGUCCUAGGUGAGUGCCCUAACCACCAGGCUAUGAGGUAUUCUGAGGUGGAUCUCUCUCAAUCUAUUUUACUGGAGCUGUUCCACUUUGUAGAAGUAAAUAUUAAUGGGGACAGGGAGAAAGCAACUCCACUGCCCAGUAACUGUUCAGGUCCUGCCAACUUGUGCAAAUGUAUUGUGAGUAAUGAAUGGGAUUGUGAUUGAAGUCUCUGUUUAGAAUCUAUUGAUAAAGAACCCAAAUGAAGUUGGGGUCCCGUUGUUCUAGGCGCUGUAUACUAAUAAGAGGCAGUCUCUGCCUCAGAGAGCUUAUAGUCUAGCGGUGCUAUAUUCUCUACUAGUGUAGCUCUCCUCCCAGUAGAAGGAUUGGGUGAUUUUAAUAUCGAGGGGAAGUGCUUUGCAGCCAACACUCAGGGUGGCCAGUUCAUGUGAAAUUUCUAUGACUUUUAUAACUUUACUUCGUCUUAGCAGCCACUUGCAAACUUGCUUGCAGCUGUCUUUCAGCUCAGUAUUUCUGACUAUGGCCACCAGAGGCCACUGCUGGGAACCAAGCAGGUGGCUUUGGAGCGCAGGUUCCUCCAUGAAGCACCCUGGCUCCCUGAAGAGCUUCUGCCCUGCUCCUUGCUUUGUGAGCAGUGAGGGAGGUGCCAGCUGGCCGGGCAGAAGCAGCAGCUUCCUUGCAGUUUAAUGUAAUGCCAGGGAGGGUGGGAUGGAAAAGUGAAAGCAUUGGGGAUGUAUAGGGAUAAAGGAGAGUGACCUUUACCUCCCUCCACCGGCACGAGAGGUGCUCUGUCUGACCUCACCUACCCUCUGCUGCAGAACUGUGAGGGACAGGGGCCUUAGGAGGAACGGGACAGGGGAGAAGAGGCCAGCACCCAGAUCAAGGUGUAUACAGCAAGUAAUUAGGGAGAGCGCCCCAGGGGAUUCUUAAGGUGAGCACAGGAGGAUGCUGGGGAGAGUGUCCGUCCUGUCUGUCAGGAGGAAGAGGAGGGUAUUUUACACACACACACACACACAGAGGGUGGUCUUCCUGUUCUGAAAUAUAAAAUCAGAAGACAGACUGAAAAUUAAAUAUGACAUCCCUACUUCGUCACAGUGCCCUGAGGGUUCAGUCAUAAUCGGGAAUGCUUGAUGGGGGACAUGUAAUGAUUUUUAAGUUAGUUUCAUGAGUUUUUGUUUUUGUUCUUGUUGUGCCCCCUUGGGGGUUGUUAAUAGGAAAUACUUGAUGGCGAUGUAACCAGGUGUGAUACUGACUCUUUUAAUGGCCAUGAGCAGGGUCCCUAAGCCUGCCAUCAUCUCUGGAUGGAACGAGAGGAAGAGCUGUGUGCUCCAAUUCUCCAGGAGUCAGAGGAAAGGGAGAUCCUCUUUGGGGCCUCCACAGGAUUGAAUGAGCAUGAGGAGAAGAACCCGCAGGAAGAUGGUCCUGAGAAUCUGGAACAGUAUGGUACAAUAUCAGAGGGGUGUGAAGAGAAUGUUUUCCAGAGCCCUGAUGAGGAGGGGGCCUAUGAGGGCCAGUACAUGUCAGAAACACAUCAGGGAGACCUUCCUGGUAAGAUACUGGGUAACUCUGUUCAUCCAGAAAGAGAUUUGGAAGCUCUUCAAGGUAUCAUCAUCCACCAGAGAAUUCCUAUAGAGGAGAGACCCUAUGUAUAUACUGAAUGUGGGGAGGGCUUCAGUCAGAGCUCGAACCUUACACAGCAUGAAAUAACACAGACAGGAGAGAAACCACAUAAAUGUACUGAAUGUAACAAAAGUUUCAGUUGGCGCUCAGACCUAAUUAAACACCAGAGAACCCACACAGGUGAGAAACCCUACAUAUGUAGUGAAUGUGGGGAAAACUUUAGUGUGAGCUCUCACCUUUUCACUCACAAGAGAACCCACACAGGAGAGAGACCUUUCCAUUGUAACGAGUGUGGGAAAAGCUUCAGCCGGAACUCUCACCUUAUUAACCACCAAAGAAUCCACACCGGAGAAAAGCCCUUUGAAUGUGCUCAGUGUGGGAAGAGCUUCAGUGAUUUCUCAACACUUACCCAGCACCAGAGAACCCACACGGGUGAGAAACCCUACGUAUGUGUUGAAUGCGGGAAAAGCUUCAUCCAGAGCUCACACCUCGUUAGGCACCGGAGAAUCCACACAGGAGAGAAACCCUAUAAAUGUGCUGAGUGUGGGAAAAGCUUUCGUUACAAGAGUCACCUUGCACAGCACCAUAAACUCCACAUGGAGUAGAAAGCACAGCCAUGAGAGCCCCUGUCCUGCACACAGAAACUCAUGCAUAAAUUAUUAUAUGGUGUGAUGACAUCAAGAAGGAACUACAAAGGGAGUGGGCACAUUCUUAGUGCAGGUAGAUUGUUCUAGGAUGGAUGGGGGGCUCUGAGUAUUGGGAAUGAGUUUGAUGUUGAUAGGAAUCAAUCAUUUGGGGAUCGGGGGGAACAAGGAGAGAGAGGCAGCUGAGGGAGUUGAUCAUUUGGGGUUCAGAGGGCUGGGAAGUGGGAGGAAUUAGGGCACUGAGGGAAUUUGGUGCUAAGGAACAUUGUUUGGAGUACAGCAAAAUAGAGGGUCAAGAGGGGAAAUAUAUAUCUCAUUGUCUUACUAAGAAGUCAAAAAUGAUAAAUUAGGCUCUGAGACAGAUACCUGGCUCAUAAGAUGUCAGAGCCAAAAUCCUGGGAAAUGCCUCACUUACUGAACUGAGGAAGACAAAGUGCCCUCUGUUCUCUCUGGCAAUGUCUCCAGCAAUUGUUUCCUCAUUUUAGAUAAUAUUUAUUUGUAGCUGCUAUUUUAGGAGCUCAGUUAAAUCUGGGCAAAAACGUCCCAGUUUUCUGUACAUGUUAUAAUAUCUAGUUUUCUGUUGCGUUGUGUCUCCCCCUCUGAAAUAAAACUUUUUUUAAAAAAA
Caretta caretta (loggerhead turtle) is the source of this 6529-nucleotide non-coding RNA. The record is from RefSeq and is a predicted model, not a curated record. NCBI's taxonomy places the organism in Eukaryota, Metazoa, Chordata, Testudines, Cheloniidae.